RNAcentral lists this long non-coding RNA (1392 nucleotides) under Equus caballus (horse). Its description in RNAcentral is "lncRNA (ENSECAG00000055464.1)". The record is from RNAcentral. Lineage: Eukaryota; Metazoa; Chordata; Mammalia; Perissodactyla; Equidae.
UCAACCCUUUCAAGCUCAAAAAGUAGAAUAAUGACAUGAUAAAUCUGCUACUUACCAACACUCCAGAAAAAAGACUUGUCUACACGUCCUCAGGCUGGAGAGAACAUCAAGGAGGGAAUUUCAUGACUGCAAAUCGGUCUUUCCAAAAUAAUAUUCCUAAUGAUAGCUACUGUUUACGGAGUGCUUCCUCUGCGUGCCGGGCCUGCACUUGCUGAGCACCGUGCAUCCGAUAGCCAUAAUCAACUAAAUUUACUUCAUGCUUACCAACGGGUUGCUGUGGAUGGUCUGAAGAAAACCACUGAUGUAAGAUAAUCAUCAUUCAUUAAAUUCUAACCCCACCCCUAUGAGGCAACUCAAACGUGUUCUUCUCAAGACAGUGGCAGAGUGCAAGAGCACGAGUGGGAAUAAGCAAGUGCCUUUCAAGCCUGUUUGCAUCAUGUCUGCUCACACCCAGUUGUUCCAAUAAGUCAGAUGUCUGGGCCCCUUCUAGGGCACCACAAGGUUACAGGACAAGGGCAGUUAAUGCAAUCAACCUACCGUAGCUCUCAGAAACUGGGGCAGCAGAGGAUGCCUGGGAAAGCCCUAUCAUUUGUUCUAGUCCACCCAGAAGUCUGCCUUGUCCAAGGAUAGCAUAUCCAUCCGUCCAUCUAUUCAAACAUUUGUGGGGACUGACUUUAGCCUAACAGCUUCAGAGGACAUGGGAACAGAAAGAAUUGGGUCCUACUCUAAGGGAGCUUAAGAUACAAUAGGCAUGAACCCAAAAAAUGUCAGCAUAAUGGGACCUUGAGAAAGGCCAAAGAAUUACCAACAAAUUGUUACAUGGCUGAGAUUGCCAAAUAUUGUGGUCUGCAGAAGGAUCUAGGCCCAUUGUGGAUUUUUCAGAAAUCUAAGGUAAAAUGAGCCCAAAAAAGCCAAUGUAGACAGAUUUGUUUGUAAGGUUAAAUUUGUUCUAUUUCAAAAACCAUUGUUUAUUCUGAAAAUGUCCUUCCUACAUUUGAAAUUAACAUGUUGACUUUUAUAAAAUUAAAAGAAAAUAGUUGUGUUUUUUUUGAGGAAGAUUAGCCCUGAGCUAACAUCUGCCACCAAUCCUCCUCUUUCUUUCUUUCUUUCUUUCUUUUUUUUCUGAGGAAGAUUGGCCCUGAGAUAACAUUCAUGCCCAUCUUCCUUUAUUUUAUAUGUGGGACGCCUGUCGCAACAUGGCUUGAUAAGCAAUGCGUAGGUCCACACCCAGGAUCCAAACCGGUGAACCCCAGGCCACUGAAGCGGAGCGUGCAAACUUAACUGCUGCACCACUGGACAAGCCCCAAAAAUAGUUUUAUUUGUGGCUUUUUAAAAUAUCCUUACCUAGUAGAAUAAAAGUUGUCAAUCUAAAAUCUAUCCUUCCCAAAUCCC